UGCGCGAACCCCAGACCUCCCAGGGUCCCCGACCUAGCUUCGCCAUGGCCGCCUUCGGGCGAGGCUGGCCGCAAGGCGCGGGGGCGCCGGUGCCGGCCCCUGGGCGCUGCUAGGGUGACUUCUCCAGGGCCACCCAGCUAACCUCUGUCCUCCCUGCACCAGCUGAGCCAUCGAGCCCGCGGCCGGCACCGGCCACACCCGCGGCGGGACGUUCCGCCCAGUCGCCGCCGAAGGGAGCGGCGCAGACAAGGCCCCCCAGACCAGCUCUAGGCCGGGCUGUGUGCUCAGGGUUUAUUGGAAUCCCUCAGCGCCUACCUUUCUGUCGGCGCUUUACCUCGCACACAGUACUUGCCUAGUAAAUACUGUUAUUUGAUAAAGUCCUGAAGGGCCGGAACCCGAGCCUGAGCCCUGUGGUCACCUGGUGGCUCCAGAACUGCCUGGCAUCUUGCCUUGUGAGAAAAGGGUUGUUGGCAUGUUUGUGACCGAAAUCAAUAAAGAACCGAUAUUCGGUCUGAGUUCUGUUCUAAAGUUGGCAGAAAGCUAAUAAAUUCCCAGUGUAGGUUGUAUGAGCUUCGGU
Molecule: long non-coding RNA, 577 nt
Organism: Eptesicus fuscus (big brown bat)
Lineage: Eukaryota; Metazoa; Chordata; Mammalia; Chiroptera; Vespertilionidae
Exons: 3
Source: RefSeq, a predicted model, not a curated record